RNAcentral lists this long non-coding RNA (1163 nucleotides) under Struthio camelus australis. RNAcentral describes it as "lncRNA (ENSSCUG00000007481.1)". Lineage: Eukaryota; Metazoa; Chordata; Aves; Struthioniformes; Struthionidae. The record is from RNAcentral.
AAAAAGCUUUGGUUAGCUUUCACAGCCACUAAUGCAUUCCUUCUUUAUGAUGUUUGAGAAGUUCCAGACAGAAGAGGAAGUGCUGAAAUACACAGAGAAAGAACCUUCUCUGCCCUGGGAUGAAGUCCUGGCUGAAAGUCAGUGCAAAGCCCUCUACCAGCAAAAGGAGAUCGUCUUGGGAUUGCAAGGUGCUGACAAGAGGGCACAGUUGUUCCAGCCAGCUGAAGAUUUGGAAUCUUCCUGAGCUGCUAUGACUUCACCUUUUCAUCAACACACUCCAGGAUCUUUAUUUUCUUCAUAUUUCCCGCAUGGUUUCAAACUUAUGCCUAAUGUUUAUCAGAUCUCUCUGUUUAUGACCUUGAACAUUUGGAGGAAAACUCCUGAACUUGACAGUUCCAAACUCUAGGACUGUGACGAUGACACAUGAAGGCAGGAGCCAACUGGAAAUUCAGUCGCAGAAGUGAAAUUCAAAACUGCGAGUGUAACAUGAGCCCAAGACCGUGUUUCCAGCAAAAAAAAAAAAAAGCUUGGAAGCUGCCCGUUAAGAAAUGAAACUGCGGCUGUUAGUUGCUGUUAUUACUGGCUAAGUAAUGACAAUGGACUGAAGAGUGGAGAGAAUACGAUACACAGGAGGUCCUUGUGUGAUCUUGCAACAGAAUGUUUUAGCUGUGACCUGCUGGUGUAAAUAGGAUACUAAAACUGUACUGAGCUGUCCCUACAGCACAAUAAGAUUAAACUAAUUGCCCUUCAAUGUUACUUUCCUGCAAGAAUGCCACUGAGGCUGGCUGUAGGCUCCCGUCUGGAGUUCCCAGUGAACUAUGGAUGCACCUCACAUUUAGAGCAACCUUAUGGGCAUACCUACCUGCCCAUGUUGUCUCUAGCUCUCCAAUAUCCCCUCUCUUGAUAGCAUCUGUCCAAAAGAAAAAUCUGGAAUCUCUUUGAAGGAUUCUGAUGUUGCCUGCUGUAAAUGUAUUUGGGAUUUGUAAUCUAUAUGGACUCGGACUGUAUGCAGACUUUCUGAUAUCUGUCUGGGUCUUAGGAGUAUCCUGAAAUACCAAAUAUUCCUGAAGUGCUGUCAGGUACUGUGGUUAUAAUCUAUGUAAGCAAGAAGUAUGUUUCUAUAAUGUACUGUAAAUCAAGACAUCAGACUAUAAAGUUCUUUG